CGGGGCGUAGUAUACCGGUAGUACGCUUGCUUUGGGAGCAAGUAGACCGAGUCCGAUUCUCGGCGCCCCGACAA
RNAcentral lists this transfer RNA (74 nucleotides) under Candidatus Kaiserbacteria bacterium RIFCSPHIGHO2_01_FULL_53_29. RNAcentral describes it as "tRNA-Pro". It matches the Rfam family "tRNA". From Rfam's summary of the family: Transfer RNA (tRNA) molecules are approximately 80 nucleotides in length. Their secondary structure includes four short double-helical elements and three loops (D, anti-codon, and T loops). Further hydrogen bonds mediate the characteristic L-shaped molecular structure. tRNAs have two regions of fundamental functional importance: the anti-codon, which is responsible for specific mRNA codon recognition, and the 3' end, to which the tRNAs corresponding amino acid is attached (by aminoacyl-tRNA synthetases). tRNAs cope with the degeneracy of the genetic code in two manners: having more than one tRNA (with a specific anti-codon) for a particular amino acid; and 'wobble' base-pairing, i.e. permitting non-standard base-pairing at the 3rd anti-codon position. Lineage: Bacteria; Candidatus Kaiseribacteriota. RNAcentral also lists the same sequence under 3 other names. The record is from RNAcentral.